CAGUAGCCGCGGUAAUACGUAGAUGGCAAGCGUUGUCCGGAAUUAUUGGGCGUAAAGGGCUCGCAGGCGGUUUCUUAAGUCUGAUGUGAAAGCCCCCGGCUCAACCGGGGAGGGUCAUUGGAAACUGGGAAACUUGAGUGCAGAAGAGGAGAGUGGAAUUCCACGUGUAGCGGUGAAGUGCGUAGAGAUGUGGAGGAACACCAGUGGCGAAGGCGACUCUCUGGUCUGUAACUGACGCUGAGGAGCGAAAGCGUGGGGAGCGAACAGGAUUAGAUACCCCCGUAGUCCCUGUCUCUUAUAC
This 301-nucleotide ribosomal RNA is filed under the name uncultured bacterium. Its description in RNAcentral is "partial 16S ribosomal RNA". It matches the Rfam family "Bacterial small subunit ribosomal RNA", at positions 509 to 807 of the family's 1533-position model. The record is from RNAcentral.